UACGGAGGGAGCUAGCGUUAUUCGGAAUUACUGGGCGUAAAGCGCACGUAGGCGGCUUUGUAAGUGAGGCGUGAAAGCCCGGGGCUUAACCCCGGAAUUGCACCUCAAACUACACGGCUAGAGCAUUGGAGAGGGUAGCAGAAUUCACGGUGUAGCAGUGAAAUGCGUAGAUAUCGUGAGAAAUACCAGAGGCGAAGGCGGCUACCUGGACAAUUGCUGACGCUCAGGCACGAAAGCGUGGGGAGCAAACAGG
RNAcentral lists this ribosomal RNA (253 nucleotides) under uncultured bacterium. Its description in RNAcentral is "partial 16S ribosomal RNA". It matches the Rfam family "Bacterial small subunit ribosomal RNA", at positions 524 to 776 of the family's 1533-position model. The record is from RNAcentral.